RNAcentral lists this unclassified non-coding RNA (296 nucleotides) under Hevea brasiliensis (rubber tree). The record is from RNAcentral. Lineage: Eukaryota; Viridiplantae; Streptophyta; Magnoliopsida; Malpighiales; Euphorbiaceae.
GGGCUUGAUGCCCAGCUAGAAAUUUAAUUAGAAGAUUACCGAAUGUGAAAAGACAUCAUCAAGCCCCAUUAUCUCAUCAUCCUGAUUUCAGAUUAUUCAUAAUCAUUUUUCAAAUAUUGCUUCUUUCUUAUCUCUGUAACAAGAAUUAAGUAAUCCUUCCUUUUGGAAUGGUGUAAAUCUAUUAUACUUUCUAUGCUUCCGUCAUUUUCAGUAUCUUGUUCAUUAUCUAUGUAUACAUGGUUCACUCUAGACAUGCCAUGUCUUCAUGAAUAUCAUGAGAGUAGAUUUUCUCGGAG